Molecule: long non-coding RNA, 443 nt
Filed under: Capra hircus (goat)
Lineage: Eukaryota; Metazoa; Chordata; Mammalia; Artiodactyla; Bovidae
Description: lncRNA (ENSCHIG00010028203.1)
Source: RNAcentral
GACAGGACUGAGGUAUGUGCUAAACCAUUCACACAGGACUUGCCUGCUAUGUGCCCCUUGAUGCUUGCAUGCUUUUUCUUCUCCCAGGUGGACAGGACGCUCAUUUUCCAUUGCCACAGCGACGGGUAGGAAGGCUGAAACCAGGAGGGCCAGCGGGAGAGCUGCAGGGCAGGACACAAUGCCAUCCAGUGCCUGGGGUCUCGUUAUUAGGAAAUGUGAAAAGGUUACUGAAACUGCAUCCAGUGAAGGCAUUAUAGUUUUGAAAGACCUCGAAAUGAAGGUGAGUCUGGCGAGGGAUAGCCAACCCCUCACAAAGCUAUUAACCCAUCUAAUUGGAAUUUGAUCAUGACAAUUAAAGGCACAUAUCAGUCUUUUCUUUUUAUAACCUUCAAAUAAGAUCUAUGUCUGAAAGCCCCAUCUAUGACGACAGUUGAUUUAGAAAA